RNAcentral lists this transfer RNA (71 nucleotides) under Schismatogobius saurii (ninja goby). RNAcentral's name for it is "tRNA-Asp". It matches the Rfam family "tRNA". From Rfam's summary of the family: Transfer RNA (tRNA) molecules are approximately 80 nucleotides in length. Their secondary structure includes four short double-helical elements and three loops (D, anti-codon, and T loops). Further hydrogen bonds mediate the characteristic L-shaped molecular structure. tRNAs have two regions of fundamental functional importance: the anti-codon, which is responsible for specific mRNA codon recognition, and the 3' end, to which the tRNAs corresponding amino acid is attached (by aminoacyl-tRNA synthetases). tRNAs cope with the degeneracy of the genetic code in two manners: having more than one tRNA (with a specific anti-codon) for a particular amino acid; and 'wobble' base-pairing, i.e. permitting non-standard base-pairing at the 3rd anti-codon position. Lineage: Eukaryota; Metazoa; Chordata; Actinopteri; Gobiiformes; Gobiidae. The record is from RNAcentral.
AAGAUACUAGUAUAGAAGAAAUACACUGCUUUGUCAAGGCAGAAUCGUAGGUUGAAUCCCUGCGUAUCUUA